Molecule: long non-coding RNA, 718 nt
Filed under: Fragaria vesca (wild strawberry)
Lineage: Eukaryota; Viridiplantae; Streptophyta; Magnoliopsida; Rosales; Rosaceae
Description: long non-coding RNA (FVES_LNC000073)
Source: RNAcentral
CUAAAAAAUAAACCUCUCUCUGUGUCAGUCAGCUCACUCCUCUCUACACUCCAUAAAUCCAUCUUCCACUUCAGUUGAGACUAACGCACAAUUCAGGUAUGCAUUUUUCUGUUUUUGAUGUUCAAUGUAUGUUUUUAUGUUAAAAGUAUGUUUUUGAUGUGAAAUCUAAGUAGCUAUUCUGCUGUUUUGGUUCUUUCUCAAAUCCUCACCCCAAAGGCCAAAGCUUUCACCUUUGGAUCCCAAGGUUCCAUCUCAACCAUAAUAGAUUGAUUGCUGCCAAAGGGAUGAGAAAGACACUAACUUUGGUUCUAAUACUCCAAAGUUUCAACCUUUUAAGAAUUGAAAUGCAGCAAAUUUGUGUCAUUGCUGCCAAAAAGAUGAAAAAGGCACCAACUUUGGUUCUAAUACUCCAAAGUUUCAACCUUUAAGACUUGAAAUGCAGAAAAUUUGUGUUCUUUAGUCCUCACCCCAAACUUUCAACCUUUAAGACUUAAAAUGCAGGAGAUUUGGGAAGGCAUCAAGAUUAAGGAGAACACUGCAGAAGCUAUGGAGGAAGAUGAUGAAGAUGAAGAUUGGGAAGAGGGAUGAAGAUUAUCCAGAUAAUGAGAUUAGGAUUAUGAGAAGUGUAGCAAAUAGGUUUCCUCGUUUCUUCUAGGUGAUCUUUGCCAAUAUUAAGAGAAGAUUUUCAGUACAUUUUUGUCAAGUAAGGUGAAGUGUG